Cynara cardunculus var. scolymus (artichoke) is the source of this 104-nucleotide small nucleolar RNA. NCBI's taxonomy places the organism in Eukaryota, Viridiplantae, Streptophyta, Magnoliopsida, Asterales, Asteraceae. The record is from RefSeq and is a predicted model, not a curated record.
UGAUCAUGGUGAGGACACAAACAAAGAAGCUCUUUGAAUCACUCAAAUGCCUCGUGAAACUCUUCCCCAUGUUGUUGUUGAAAAUUGGAGAUCGCUCGGCAUAU